Molecule: small nucleolar RNA, 139 nt
Filed under: Schizosaccharomyces cryophilus OY26
Lineage: Eukaryota; Fungi; Ascomycota; Schizosaccharomycetes; Schizosaccharomycetales; Schizosaccharomycetaceae
Description: small nucleolar RNA snR92
Rfam family: small nucleolar RNA snR92
Source: Rfam by way of RNAcentral
AAACCAAGUUUUGCCUACUGUUAUUUCGCUUAUAUAAAACGAAUAACGGUUUACUACAUGCUUGGAAGAAAAAUAGUCGACUCCACCCUGGAUAUUCUUUAUUUAUGAGUUUUCAGGACUAAAUCACCGACUAAAAUCU